This 316-nucleotide long non-coding RNA is filed under the name Elaeis guineensis (African oil palm). Its description in RNAcentral is "long non-coding RNA (EGUI_LNC002100)". The record is from RNAcentral. Lineage: Eukaryota; Viridiplantae; Streptophyta; Magnoliopsida; Arecales; Arecaceae.
UGGCCACGCAGUGUGAUUGAUAGAAAAGAGUUUUUAUAAGGAUCACAAUUAGACUUGAGCUGAUCAAAUUUAUCAUAUGACUGAUGAUGAGGUUUGAUGAUUUAUCCAUGACCUGCCAUCUAGUCGAGACUCACAAUGGAGGGACUGAAUCACACGUUAACUACACCUUGAGAUUCAUUUUUGGUUCUACUAGGUUGUCACUAUAUACUGCUGGGUGCCACUAAUAGAUUGUGAGAGCUCACUAGGAUUGCUCAGGAUCGACAGUCUUUGACAAGUUGGAGUGAAAUUAUUUCGAUCCACUGAAAAGAGUUUCAAU